This 985-nucleotide long non-coding RNA is filed under the name Homo sapiens (human). RNAcentral's name for it is "long independently transcribed non-coding RNA 2831, transcript variant 2 (LINC02831)". The record is from RNAcentral. Lineage: Eukaryota; Metazoa; Chordata; Mammalia; Primates; Hominidae.
AGUUGAGAAGCAAUGCUGUUUCACCUCCCUGAGAGAAUUGCCUUGUUUGUGAAAUACUACAGAAAAACCUGUAUUUUCUCCAGAAAAUGAAAGGUCUUGGCCUGAGUAAAUCAAGGCAGAAAACUCACCCCCGUGAAAGCUGCAGCUCUGAGAGUGUGUGGGCAGGGCUUCAACAGAAUACCUGUGGCUGCACUUACAAAAGGCAGCCAGAAGGACCCGUCCAUUCUGGAAAGUACCUUUAGUCUGAAAGCAUUUAUUGCAGAAAAAAUAUGAGGCUUGCUGGUAGUAUUCCCAGGUGACAAAUGUGCACCCAACACCCUACAGAAAAGAAGAACCAUAAAAUAAUUAAUUAUUCCAUUGUAACUCCUGCCUGGAAAACAUCUGAAAGAAGUCACUAGAUUCAGCCCACAUUCAAGAUGAGAAAUACCAGAAGGCAGAGAACACUGAGGCUGUUUUAGAGGCUGUCAACCCCAGGGAGACAGACAGCAAAUAAGAUGCUUGGAUGUUUUCACACCACUCUGACACAUGGAUGGAAGGUUAGAAGACAACAAAGGAAUGGGCUGGGAAGGACUCCAAAAGCAGAAUCAGAGAUUAUAUCAUUCCUUGGAAAUGGAGAAAAGGAUCAAAAAAGCUGAAUAAAAGGCAAACAUGGAGGAACAGAGUUUGGAGCAAUACCCUGACUUACAUUCAGUACUGUUAAUGGCUCCAGCAUCUUGAAACAAACCAAUUUUGGAUUUUCAGCCGCUGUCCAAGAUGACGUGAACUCCAGGCUAUUGACUUUCCUCUACCUUCAAUGGAAAUUGUCAUGGAGAAUUAAGUUUUUGACAAAUCUACAGCCUAUGUGCAGGGCUUCUUCCUGGGUGUAACAAUAAGGAAUUUGGAAACUGUCUCUAGUUUUGGCCUGGAGUCACACUGCAGCUUGAGACCCUGUCAUUUCCAUCAAGCUUGAAAAUAUACAUCUUAAUAAACUGCAAUACUUCUUAAA